UCGGGAAUCUUGCACAAUGGGCGAAAGCCUGAUGCAGCAACGCCGUGUGAGCGAGGAAGGCCUUAGGGUCGUAAAGCUCUGUUGUUGGGGACGAAGGGCGAAGGGUUAAUAGCCCCUAGCCUGACGGUACCCUUCGAGGAAGCCCCGGCUAACUACGUGCCAGCAGCCGCGGUAAUACGGAGGGGGCAAGCGUUGUUCGGAUUUACUGGGCGUAAAGGGCGCGUAGGCGGGGUAUCCAGUUAGGGGUGAAAGCCCGGGGCUCAACCUCGGAACUGCCUUUAAAACUGAUACUCUAGAGUCCGGAAGAGGGUCGCGGAAUUCCCAGUGUAGAGGUGAAAUUCGUAGAUAUUGGGAAGAACACCGGUGGCGAAGGCGGCGACCUGGUCCGGUACUGACGCUGAGGCGCGAAAGCGUGGGGAGCAAACAGGAUUAGAUACCCCCGUAGUCC
Molecule: ribosomal RNA, 448 nt
Filed under: uncultured prokaryote
Description: bacterial SSU rRNA
Rfam family: Bacterial small subunit ribosomal RNA
Source: RNAcentral